UACGGAGGAUGCGAGCGUUAUCCGGAUUUAUUGGGUUUAAAGGGUGCGUAGGCGGUUUUUUAAGUUAGUGGUUAAACGUCGGGGCUUCACCUUGAUUUGCCAUUAAUACUGUAAGACUCGAGUUCAGACGAGGUAGGCGGAAUAAGUUAAGUAGCGGUGAAAUGCUUAGAUAUUGCGCAGAACUCCGAUUGCGAAGGCAGCAUACCGGCGGCGAUCUGACGCUGAGGCACGAAAGCGUGGGGAUCGAACAGG
This 252-nucleotide ribosomal RNA is filed under the name uncultured Odoribacter sp. Its description in RNAcentral is "partial 16S ribosomal RNA". It matches the Rfam family "Bacterial small subunit ribosomal RNA", at positions 524 to 776 of the family's 1533-position model. Lineage: Bacteria; Pseudomonadati; Bacteroidota; Bacteroidia; Bacteroidales; Odoribacteraceae. The record is from RNAcentral.